This is a long non-coding RNA of Passer domesticus (house sparrow), 486 nucleotides long. RefSeq lists it as uncharacterized. The record is from RefSeq and is a predicted model, not a curated record. Lineage: Eukaryota; Metazoa; Chordata; Aves; Passeriformes; Passeridae. The transcript has 3 exons.
CUCUCACAUAUGGGGAGGGAUUACCAGGGGAGGAAGGGGAAUCCCAGGACCGAACCAUUUAACAGAUAAGAAAAACCUCUGCCUUGGAGAAGGAGGAACAAGUAAGAGUGGAUGAUGUUUCUUCAUGUGGAAUCAUAGCUAACACCUCUGAAAGGCCUUGUACCUCAGAGAUGUUGGGGAACUACAAGACAAAAGGAGCCAAACAUCUUCAGACAGAGCAGGUACUUCAAUCCAGCAGGGAUCAUUCCUUCAGGCACAGAGCUGUGCUAAUAUGAUUGCACGUCUUCCUGCUGGAGCUAGUCCACACCUAGGUGAUCUGGAGUGAUAGCAAGCAACUGUCUGCAACUGCCUUCCCAGCUCCCUCCCUUCCUCUGUGAUCCUGUGCUCAGGGCUCUCAUCUGACAAAUGAAAGGUACAAGGAAUACCACUGGCUCAUCAACUUUUACAUGUAAAAGGAAACUGUCAGACAAAAACACUCUAAAAGAU